GAUGAACGCUGGCGGCGUGCCUAAUACAUGCAAGUCGAGCGAACAGACGAGGAGCUUGCUCCUCUGACGUUAGCGGCGGACGGGUGAGUAACACGUGGAUAACCUACCUAUAAGACUGGGAUAACUUCGGGAAACCGGAGCUAAUACCGGAUAAUAUAUUGAACCGCAUGGUUCAAUAGUGAAAGACGGUUUUGCUGUCACUUAUAGAUGGAUCCGCGCCGCAUUAGCUAGUUGGUAAGGGAACGGCUUACCAAGGCAACGAUGCGUAGCCGACCUGAGAGGGUGACCGGCCACACUGGAACUGAGACACGGUCCAGACUCCUACGGGAGGCAGCGGUAGGGAAUCUUCCGCAAUGGGCGAAAGCCUAACGGAGCAACGCCGCGAGAGUGAUGAAGGUCUUCGCUUCGUAAAACGCUGUUAUUAGGGAAGAACAAAUGUGUAAGUAACUAUGCACGUCUUGACGGUACCUAAUCAGAAAGCCACGGCUAACUACGUG
RNAcentral lists this ribosomal RNA (497 nucleotides) under uncultured bacterium. Its description in RNAcentral is "partial 16S ribosomal RNA". It matches the Rfam family "Bacterial small subunit ribosomal RNA", at positions 28 to 507 of the family's 1533-position model. The record is from RNAcentral.